UGAGGAAUAUUGGUCAAUGGGCGGGAGCCUGAACCAGCCAAGUCGCGUGAGGGACGACGGUCCUAUGGAUUGUAAACCUCUUUUGUCGGGGAACAAAGGCGCCCACGGGUGGGCGGAUGAGUGUACCCGAAGAAAAAGCAUCGGCUAACUCCGUGCCAGCAGCCGCGGUAAUACGGAGGAUGCGAGCGUUAUCCGGAUUUAUUGGGUUUAAAGGGUGCGUAGGCGGACAGUCAAGUCAGCGGUAAAAAUGCGGUGCUCAACGCCGUACAGCCGUUGAAACUGGCAGUCUUGAGUGGGCGAGAAGUAUGCGGAAUGCGUGGUGUAGCGGUGAAAUGCAUAGAUAUCACGCAGAACUCCGAUUGCGAAGGCAGCAUACCGGCGCCCGACUGACGCUGAGGCACGAAAGCGUGGGUAUCGAACA
Molecule: ribosomal RNA, 421 nt
Filed under: uncultured bacterium
Lineage: Bacteria
Description: bacterial SSU rRNA
Rfam family: Bacterial small subunit ribosomal RNA
Source: RNAcentral